UCUCCGUUGGUGAACCAGCGGAGGGAUCAUUACUGGAAUCGCAAGAUCCCACAACCCUGUGAACCUACCGAAACGUUGCCUCGGCGGGUGCCCGGCCUCUGCGCCGGGGGCUGCGCCCGCCGGCGGCCCCCUACUCUGUCUCUGCAGCGUAGCAUCUCAGAGUCCCAGAAAACAAGUCAAAACUUUCAACAACGGAUCUCUUGGCUCUA
This 209-nucleotide unclassified non-coding RNA is filed under the name plant metagenome. RNAcentral's name for it is "partial contains small subunit ribosomal RNA, internal transcribed spacer 1, and 5.8S ribosomal RNA". The record is from RNAcentral.